Long non-coding RNA from Amblyraja radiata (thorny skate), 717 nucleotides. RefSeq lists it as uncharacterized. The record is from RefSeq and is a predicted model, not a curated record. NCBI's taxonomy places the organism in Eukaryota, Metazoa, Chordata, Chondrichthyes, Rajiformes, Rajidae. The transcript has 2 exons.
AUCUCCCACCCCGACAUUGAGCUUUGUAAAUGAGUCACUCUUAUUUUCCAAUUACUUUUCAUCUCGUGGGACUUGUUGCCACCAAGUGGUGGGUGAUGAAAUUACAUCUCACCACCAUAAGCCACAAAACGAACAAGAGGCUAAAUAAAUUACCAAGCAGAAUACCAGUCUAAAAUGGUAGAGACAGAUUGCUGUGACAUUUGUUGAAAAUGGCCUGUGCAGUGUAACAUGGGCAUGAAGCUUGGGAACACAAAUAUAAAAAAUAUACUGUGCCUCGGGUCACUGGCAUCGUUGUUAUUAAUCCAUGUAUGAUGCGACAAGUUAUGGAGGAGUUCACAGACUGAACACUUAAAUAAAAAUGGCAUAACUGUUGCUCAUUAUUCAUUCCUUCUUGGCAGUUGGAAAGCUGAUACCAUAAAACCAACUUGAUUGAAUGAAGACGAGUGUUCUCUGUGGCCCCAGAUCAACGCCACUGUGCAGGGCUUUGGCAUGAGUGCCAAAACCGAACUCUCUCUAAUGAUUAUGUUCCGCAUCCCGAGUCAUAUUUACACUAGGCAGUGCAAGAAUGUCAAAUUUUCUUGAUGAAAUGAGUGACUAUUGCAAUGUGGAUUGGUAAAUCAUUGGGGUCGAAGGAUUGAAUAGGACUGAAUGGGAUUACGCCUCUCCAACAAUCUUGUGAUCCGAAUAGUUGUAAUAAAUCUUGUCAUAUGUUACCAA